GCCGAUUUAGCUCAGUUGGGAGAGCGCAAGACUGAAGUUCUUGAGGUCCUCAGUUCGAUCCUGAGAGUCGGCA
RNAcentral lists this transfer RNA (73 nucleotides) under Gracilariopsis chorda. Its description in RNAcentral is "Gracilaria chorda tRNA". It matches the Rfam family "tRNA". From Rfam's summary of the family: Transfer RNA (tRNA) molecules are approximately 80 nucleotides in length. Their secondary structure includes four short double-helical elements and three loops (D, anti-codon, and T loops). Further hydrogen bonds mediate the characteristic L-shaped molecular structure. tRNAs have two regions of fundamental functional importance: the anti-codon, which is responsible for specific mRNA codon recognition, and the 3' end, to which the tRNAs corresponding amino acid is attached (by aminoacyl-tRNA synthetases). tRNAs cope with the degeneracy of the genetic code in two manners: having more than one tRNA (with a specific anti-codon) for a particular amino acid; and 'wobble' base-pairing, i.e. permitting non-standard base-pairing at the 3rd anti-codon position. The record is from Rfam by way of RNAcentral. Lineage: Eukaryota; Rhodophyta; Florideophyceae; Gracilariales; Gracilariaceae.